RNAcentral lists this long non-coding RNA (6476 nucleotides) under Marmota monax (woodchuck). Lineage: Eukaryota; Metazoa; Chordata; Mammalia; Rodentia; Sciuridae. The record is from RNAcentral.
CAGAUGAGCAAAGCUUGAUUCUUCCAUGGUGAUAAGGUAACAGCACUCUUCCUGGGUUCCACAGAAGCGGGAGAAUUCAGUACCUGUUUGCACCCAUUCCUACCCUCCCUGCUCCCUUGCACCUGGUAGAGCUGGCCAACCGAGUGACCCAGGAAAGCUCCUACGGGGGGCCUUGGCUUCCUCAGUCUCCCUCUAACAUUGGACUGUUCUUCAGUAUCAUGUAAAUUAACAUGAUAAAGUUAUGGGACUCCUGUCAAUUAUAGAUAGAGGAUUCCUUUAGCAAGUAUAUCAUAUUCAGAUCAACACAGGCACCCUAAAAGUAGUUGUCCUGGAAAUAAUAUACACUUAUUCUAAAAAAAAUUUGGUUAUUACUCAAAAUAUUUUGGUUACUUAUUAUGUAGAGUUACUUUGAAAAUCAAUCUGAGGGGCUGGGGGUGUGGCUGGGUGGGAGAGCACUUGCUUACUACAUGCAGGGCCCUGGGUUCCACCCCUGGUAACACACACACACACACACACACACGCAAACUCUAAAAUAACAACAACAAAUCAGUCUGAGCCCUACUGAGGAAGCCAGUUUCACAACACACUAGGACUUCAGCUUUCCUUCUGGAGCCCCAAGCAGGGAAAGCUCCGGAUCCCAGUGGAGCCGCAAGACUCUCAUCCCUCAGAGCCCGGGUGCUGCUUUGUGAGACUUUGACCUUUAAACAGAGCAGGAUCCAACUGCCCUGUUUAGUGUACUCUCUCCAGGGCUCCAUUUCUCUUCCUUCCCCUCUCCACCUUCUUCACAGCACAGAACCCUCGUGUCUGGGUCUGCAGACCUAGCCUCCAUUGUCUUCCCAGAGGAAACUUGGGGGGAACGGCCUGGGGAAGAGGGACUUGAGCAUUCUCCAUUUCCUUCUGCGCCUGGGGAGUUGGUUAAUGAUCAACCAGUAAUUGCCACUCCCGGGGAGACCAGGAUCAUGGUCCAGCCCUACACCGUGGCUCAGGGCAGAGGGCACUGGGUACACAGAAGAACCUGCUGCUGACCUUCCUACUUUAUUUUUGGAGUUGGUGGCCGUCUGUGGUCAUGUAUCUUCCUCCUUGAGUCUGCUCUUGGGGGAAAAUGAGGAUGUCUGAAGUUUGCAAAGCAAAAAACCUGUAGGAAGCUGGGCUCCUUCCCACCAUGCCUCCUUCUGCUUUCUAGCUGUUUCUGAGCUCCCAGAACACCAGAGAGAGGCGUUAGCUGAUGUUCAAAUGUGUCUACAGGAUUUCCUCAGGGCUCGGGAUACCUUGGAGGGCUUCAUUCUGUGCCCACCAGCUUACCUGCUUUUGUCUUUUCCAGAUUUUUACUUUUCACAAACAAGUAGGAGGCUAAUGGGCUAGAAAUUCAGCCUCCCUUCAGCCUUCAUUAAUUGAACAAUAAGGUUGUUUAGGCAAUAUUGUCCCUGUGGGGACAGGGAGAGGCAGUGGCAGAAUGCACAGUUAGUGAAUGGACAUUCCUGGUGCAGAGUAGGUGUGCAGAAGGAAGGAGGCCCAGGAACUGCAGAAAUGGAAGGUGUAACACAGGGAAAUGAGGGGGGCAGACAGAGGCUGUUGAUGGUCCCUUUCUGCCACCUGAAGGAAGAGUUAGUUACCUGAUCAAAGGCCAUUAGGGGCAUGGCCUGGGGCUGAAUUCUGGUGCUAUGAAAACACAGGUCUACAAGGUUACAGUCUUAACCAAAAGGACAGAGGUAACAAACAAUUCAUUGUGAUUUUCAAAAUGUGUGUGGUAGAGUAUUAUGGGUCACAACUCCUACCAUGGCUAAUGCCUAACAUUUAUUGUUCAUCAGUUUUUUAAAAAUUUGUUUCUUUUUGGUAUUGGGGAUUGAACUUAGAGACACUUUACCACUGAGCUGUAUUCCCAUCCCUUUAUAUUUUUUGAGACAGGAUCUCACUAAGUUGCUUAGGGCCUCCUUAAGUCGCUGAGGCUGGUCUUGAAGUUGUGAUCCUCCUGAGCCGUUGGGAUUACAGGUGUGCCCGGCUCACCUAGUAUCUUCUAAAUGUUUACACAUGGAUUAAUUUCUUUACUCCUGACACCAACUGUAUGUAUUGAUAUAAUCCCUGUUCUGUAGAUAAAGAAGCCGAGGCUCAGAGCCUGCCUGAGGUCACCCCAGGGGCGCUGGGAUUCUGGAACAGCAGGUGGUCAGGCUUCGGGACCCUUUGCUCUUGCCUAAGUCAUCCAGAGUCAUCCAGAGUGAGCGGGAAGCUUGGCCAUGUCCCUCCUGCAUGCCUUCCUACCUGCUUAUCUGACCUGGGAUACUCUUCUUUAAAGACUGGUCAAAGGGGUCUUUCCUGUGACACCUCGGACUCCCUCAGCCCAUCUCUGGCACUCUCUGUCCUUGGAGCUUGCCUAGCACCUGUGGAUAGAACAACUGCAUGAGAUUCUAUUUACUGGGCUAGCUGAUUCCUGUGGUAAGCUUUUAGAGAACAAGGACUUUUUAAUUUUCUUGGAAAUUCUCAAAUAGUUAUAAAAGUAGAGACAAUGGUAUGAUGAACUUACACGUACUCAUCGCCCAACUCCAACGAUUAUCCUUCCAGGCCAGUCUUGUUUCAUCUAUGCUCCGACUUUAUGUCCUCCCUCCCCAAACAUGGAUUAUUUUGUAAGAAAUCCUAGACAUCAAAUUAUUUUAUCUAUAAAUAUUUCAGUGAUGCUCCUAAAACAUAAGGGCUCUUUUAGAAACCACAACCAUGCCAAGUGUGGUGCUCACCUGUAAUCCCAGCUACUCAGGAGGCUGAGGCAGGAGAAUCACCAGUUCGAGGUCAGCCUCAGCAAUGUAGCAAGGCCCUAAGCAACUCAGUGAGACUCUAUCUCAAAAUAAAAAAUAAAAAGAGCCUGGAAAUAUGGCUCAGUUUGUAAGUGCCCCUGUGUUCAAUCCCUGGUACCAAACAAAACAAGACAAAAAACUAAAACAUUAUCCCAUUGAAAAAUAAUAUCAAGAAAUAUGCGACCAAUGAUCAAAUUUCUGAGAUUAUUUUAUACUUGUUCUUCCUUUCCUCUUCUUUUUCCUCUUUGUUCUUCAGUUACUUCCUUUCUUCUUCUCUUUCAAAUAACAAGGUUGUUUGAAUCAGGUUCGCUUUUCUCAACACCUAGUUUAGUGUUUGACAUAGAGUGGUGAGUUCUUCACAGAUGUUUGUUGAAUGAAUAAAACAUCAGGAGUCUUUAAAAGAUCCUGGCUGGGUUUUGUUUGGUUUCUUGGGAUGCCUUUCAACCUCCGGUAACUUUCGUUUUUUAGGGGUUAACUUAAAUGCCAGCUACCAUCUGUGCCUGUGAACAUUGCUGAAGGCUUGAGGUCUGCGGUGUGUCUGUGGCUGGGAGAAAAGGAGCCUUGCUUUCUUGUUUCUGCUUUCUGUCCUGGGUUCCUGUGAUGGGCUGAAUUGUAUGCUUCCCAAAGUCUUAGGUCAGAACCCAGAAUGUGGCUGCAUUUGAAGAUAAGGCCGUUAAAGGUGAUGAGUAAAAUCAGGCCAUUAGGGUGGGCCCUAAUCCUACCUGCCAGGUAUCCUCAUAAGGAAAGGUGACACCAGUGAUGUAAAUGCACAGGGAAAGGACCCUGUGAGGACAGCCAGGCAGCCACCUGCAAGCCAAGGAGAAGGGCCUCAGCAGAAACCUGAUAAGAAGUGUUGCUAAGAUGACUGUAGAUAAUGACAACAUUUUAAAAAACUAAAAUAAAGGAUUUUGAGUGUUUACAACCAAAAAGACAAAUGUUGCCGGGUGCAGUGGCACACACCUCAGCUCAGGAGGCUGAGGCAGGAGGAUCAUCACUUCAAAGCCAGCUUCAGCUAUUUAUGAAGGACCUGAGCAACUCAGUGAGACCCUGUCUCUAAAUAAAAAAUAAAUAAGGGCUGGGGAUGUGGCUCAGUGUUUAAGUGCCCCUGCGUUCAAUCCCUUGUACAAAAAAAAAAAAAAAGACAAAUAUUUGAGGAGAAGAAUGUGUCACUGAUUUAAACUUUACACAAUGUAUGCAUGUAUAAUUUGGGCAAUGUUUAUGUAUCAGUUAAAAAGACAUUUAAUUUAAAUAAAAAAAACAUAAAAGAAACUAAAUCUGUUGACACAUUGAUAUCUUGGAUCUCCAGAACUGUGAGAAAUAAAUUUUCAUGGUUAGGGCUGGGGGUGUAGCUCAGUGGCUGAGUGCUUACCUAGCAUGCAAGAGACCCUGAGAUUGACCCCAGCACUGCACACACACACAAAUUUCCGUUGUCUAAGUCGCCCAGUGUGCCGUACUCUGUUAUGGCAUCGAGAACAGACUAAUCACAGUCUCUUGUCUCACUUUAAGUUGGACUGAUCAUGCUUGGCUUCUUUGGCCCCUGCACAAGAGGGGUCCCUUCAGGGUCUCUCAGGGAUCUCUCUGGGGAAGAUCCUUAGGAGCAGGGACAGCUUCAUGUGGUGAUGUGGAACAAAGAAUUCUAAGAUGGCCCCCAUCCUCUCCUGGAAUGGAGAAUAUGAUGAGUUAUCACCUCCCAUCCAUGAUGCUUACUUUGUGUGGCACUCAGGAUUUAAAAAAAUUUUUUUUUGGUACCUUGGAUUGAACCCAGGGGCGCUUAACCUCUGAGCCACAUCCCCAGCUCUUUAUUUUUAUAUUUUAUUUAGAGACAGGGUCUUGCUGAGUUGCUUAGGGCCUCAUUAAAUUGCUUAGGUUGGCUUUCAAGUCACAAUCCUCCUCCCUCAACCUCCCAAACUGCUGGGAUGAAAGGUGUGCACCACCGUGCUCAGUUCUGGCAAUCAGGAUUUUGAAGAUAUAAUUAAAGAUACAAAUCAGUUGAUUUUGAGUUAAUCAAGGAGAUUAUCUGAGUGGACCUAAUCUAAUCCCAUGAAUCUUUUAAAAGCAAAGAGUUUUCUCUGGCUGGUUUCAGAAAGAGAAAUCAUGGACUUUAGAAGUGUGAGUGGGAGACCCUCUGUUGCUGAAAUGGGGCGGUCAUGGGGCUGGGACCUUGGAACAUCCUCUAGUUUCUGAGAGUGGUCCCUGUUAUCAGUAGGUCAAUGAAGACCUCAACCUGUGACUGCAAGGAGCUCAGCUCUGUGAACUAAUAAACAAGUGUUGUUUUAAACUACUGAGUCCAUGGUAAUUUGUAAGGCAGCAAUAGAAUAUGAAUAUUGGUGCUUUGUACUGAUAGAUUGAAUUAGCCACAUCUAAUUUUACUUUUAAAAAUUAAGGUAAGAAUUAGCCUGGUGUGGUGGUGCAGACCUAUAAUUCCAGCACAGGAGGAUUGAAAGUUCAUAGCCAGCCUGAGCAAUUUAGUGAGACCAUAAGCAAUUUAGCGAGACCAUUUCAAAAAAUGGGAUUGUGGCUCAGUGGUUAAAAUGCUCCUGGGUUAAAUCCCCAGUACCUGCACCCUUACCAAAAAAAAAAAAAAAAAAUUGAGGCAAAAAUUAGAAUACAUUGAAAUGCAUACAGACCUUAAGUAUAAAAAAAUUUUUUUUUCAUGAUGCUGAGCUACACUCCUGAACUUUACAAUUUGAUUUUGGUAAAUGUGUACACCCAUGCAAUCACACCUCAAUUUCGAUGUAGAACAAUUCUGCCAUCCCUGAAUUCCUUUGAAUGCCUUUACAAUUAAUUCCCCCCAUCUUGAAUGAAUUCUUAGCUCCAUUAGUUAAAAGUGCCUAUUCUUGGCAGGCAUCAUUUAACUGGUAUAUAAUACAUGCUCCUUUAUGUCUGUUUGACUUUGCACAGCAUGAUAGUUGAUUUAGUGAGAUUUUGUCUCAAAAAUAAAAAGGGCUGGGGAUGUGGCUCAAUGUGGUUAAAUGCCCCUGGGUUCAAUCCCAAGUACAACAAACAAACAAACAAACAAACAAAAUCUUGCUAAAUUGCUUAGGGCCUUGCUAAAUUCCUGAGCUAGCCUUGAACUUGCCAUCCUCCUGCCUCAAUCUCCUGACCUGCUGGGAUUACAGGAGUGUGCCACCACACCUGGCUACAGCAUGAUAUUUUAAAGAUUCAUCCUUUGUUUUGCUUUUUUUUUUUUUUUCCUUUUAAGACAGGAUCUCACUAUGUCACUCAGAACAUCCUUGGACUCCUGGUCUCAAGCAAUCCCAGGCAUGCACCACUACUCCCAGCAAGAUUCGUCCAUUUCUUACAAGUUUGAACACUUUAGUUGCAGAAGAGUAGUAAAUCCUGUCCUAUUGGCACAACACAAUUUGCUUAUUAUUCAUUUGCUGAUGGUCAUUUGAAUUAUUUCCACCUUUCGGUCAUUAUGAAAAAUGCUGUUGUGAACAUUCAUGUGUGGUUCUUCACGGCUAUACAUUGUCAUUUCUCUCAGAUAAAUAUGUAGGAGUGUUAUCGCUGGGUUAUAGAGUGUGUCAAAACUUUAUAAGGACCAUCAAGCCAUUUCUCUGAGGGACUGUGCCAUUGUAGAUCUCCAUCAGCAAUCUAUAAGCAUUCUGGUUAUUCCCCUCCUCAUGACACUUGGGAUUGUCAAGUCUUUUUUUGGGGGGAGUGGGGGUUAAUAAAAACUUUAUUGUUGUAUUA